GGCCGAGUGGCGCAAUGGCUAGCGCAUUACUUUCCGGUCAUCGCUGAUGGUAAAGGCUCUGGGUUCGAAUCCCAGCUUGGUCG
This 83-nucleotide transfer RNA is filed under the name Cercophora newfieldiana. It matches the Rfam family "tRNA". Rfam says of the family: Transfer RNA (tRNA) molecules are approximately 80 nucleotides in length. Their secondary structure includes four short double-helical elements and three loops (D, anti-codon, and T loops). Lineage: Eukaryota; Fungi; Ascomycota; Sordariomycetes; Sordariales; Lasiosphaeriaceae. The record is from Rfam by way of RNAcentral.